GAGCAGUGAUGUUACUUGCAUUAUUUGUGAACGAUGGGUCGUCACACUUCUGAUAUAUUCAGAAGAAAAAUUGUGCUUCUGAGCUU
Molecule: small nucleolar RNA, 86 nt
Organism: Lycium ferocissimum
Lineage: Eukaryota; Viridiplantae; Streptophyta; Magnoliopsida; Solanales; Solanaceae
Product: small nucleolar RNA snoR114
Exons: 1
Source: RefSeq, a predicted model, not a curated record